This 264-nucleotide ribosomal RNA is filed under the name uncultured bacterium. RNAcentral's name for it is "partial 16S ribosomal RNA". It matches the Rfam family "Bacterial small subunit ribosomal RNA", at positions 92 to 354 of the family's 1533-position model. The record is from RNAcentral.
UUAGUGGCGGACGGGUGAGUAACGCGUGAGCAACCUGCCUUUCAGAGGGGGAUAACGUUUGGAAACGAACGCUAAUACCGCAUAAGACCACACUUCCACAUGGGAGAGGGGUCAAAGGAGCAAUCCGCUGAAAGAUGGGCUCGCGUCCGAUUAGAUAGUUGGCGGGGUAACGGCCCACCAAGCCGACGAUCAGUAGCCGGACUGAGAGGUUGAACGGCCACAUUGGGACUGAGAUACGGCCCAGACUCCUACGGGAGGCAGCAG